GAUGAACGCUGGCGGCGUGCCUAAUACAUGCAAGUCGAGCGAACAGACGAGGAGCUUGCUCCUCUGACGUUAGCGGCGGACGGGUGAGUAACACGUGGAUAACCUACCUAUAAGACUGGGAUAACUUCGGGAAACCGGAGAUAAUACCGGAUAAUAUAUUGAACCGCAUGGUUCAAUAGUGAAAGACGGUUUUGCUGUCACUUAUAGAUGGAUCCGCGCCGCAUUAGCUAGUUGGUAAGGUAACGGCUUACCAAGGCAACGAUGCGUAGCCGACCUGAGAGGGUGAUCAGCCACACUGGAACGGAGACACGGUCCAGACUCCUACGGGAGGCAGCAGUAGGGAAUCUUCCGCAAUGAGCGAAAGCCUGACGGAGCAACGCCGCGUGAGUGAGGAAGGUCUUCGGAUCGUAAAACUCUGUUAUUAGGGAAGAACAAAUGUGUAAGUAACUAUGCACGUCUUGACGGUACCUAAUCAGAAAGCCACGGCUAACUACGUG
Molecule: ribosomal RNA, 497 nt
Filed under: uncultured bacterium
Lineage: Bacteria
Description: partial 16S ribosomal RNA
Rfam family: Bacterial small subunit ribosomal RNA
Source: RNAcentral